CUGAGCCAUGUGCCGAGAAAAGCCGCUAUCGUUUUAUAUGUGCCCGUACCGUAAACCGACACAGGUGGAUGAGGAGAGAAUCCUAAGGCCGACGGAAGAAGCAUUGUUAAGGAACUCGGCAAAAUGACCCCGUAACUUCGGGAGAAGGGGUGCCCACUUCAGGGUGGGCCGCAGAGAAUAGGCUCAAGCAACUGUUUAGCAAAAACACAGGUCUAUGCGAAACCGUAAGGUGAAGUAUAUGGGCUGACGCCUGCCCGGUGCUGGAAGGUUAAGAGGAGAGGUUAGUCGCAAGAUGAAGCUUUGAAUUUAAGCCCCAGUAAACGGCGGCCGUAACAAUAACGGUCCUAAGGUAGCGAAAUUCCUUGUCGGGUAAGUUCCGACCCGCACGAAAGGCGUAAUGAUUUGAGCACUGUCUCGACAAUGCAUCCGGUGAAAUUGAAGUACCAGUGAAGAUGCUGGUUACCCGCGCCAGGACGGAAAGACCCCAUGGAGCUUUACUCCAGUUUGGUACUGGGAUUCGGUACUGCAUGUACAGGAUAGGUGGGAGACUGAGAAAUUGGAACGCCAGUUUCAAUGGAGUCACUGUUGGGAUACCACCCCUGCAGUAUUGGGUUUCUAACCAGCCGCUGUGAUCCAGCGGUGGGACAAUGCCAGGCGGGGAGUUUGACUGGGGCGGUCGCCUCCGAAAGGGUAUCGGAGGCGCUCAAAGGUUCCCUCAGAAUGGUCGGAAACCAUUUUAAGAGUGCAAAGGCAGAAGGGAGCUUGACUGCGACACCGACGGGUGGAGCAGGUACGAAAGUAGGACUUAGUGAUCCGGUGGCAUAAAGUGGGAUUGCCAUCGCUCAACGGAUAAAAGCUACCCUGGGAUAACAGGCUUAUCACUCCCAAGAGUUCACAUCGACGGAGUGGUUUGGCACCUCGAUGUCGGCUCAUCGCAUCCUGGGGCUGUAGCAGGUCCCAAGGGUUGGGCUGUUCGCCCAUUAAAGCGGUACGCGAGCUGGGUUCAGAACGUCGUGAGACAGUUCGGUCCCUAUCCGGCGCGGGCGGAGGAUAUUUGAGAGGAGCUGUCCUUAGUACGAGAGGACCGGGAUGGACGGACCACUGGUGUAUCUGCUGUCGACCAACGGCAUGGCAGAGUAGCCAAGUCCGGAAGGGAUAAACGCUGAGGGCAUCUAAGCGUGAAGCCCCCCUCAAGAUGAGAUAUCCCUCACAUAAGUGAGUAAGAUCCCUUGAAGAGUACAAGGUAGAUAGGGCAGAGGUGGAAGCAUGGUAACAUGUGGAGCUGACUGUUACUAAUCGAUCGAGGGCUUGACCA
RNAcentral lists this ribosomal RNA (1315 nucleotides) under metagenome. RNAcentral's name for it is "bacterial LSU rRNA". It matches the Rfam family "Bacterial large subunit ribosomal RNA", at positions 1595 to 2925 of the family's 2925-position model. The record is from RNAcentral.